This 115-nucleotide ribosomal RNA is filed under the name Crustomastix stigmatica. Its description in RNAcentral is "partial Eukaryotic small subunit ribosomal RNA". It matches the Rfam family "Eukaryotic small subunit ribosomal RNA", at positions 734 to 845 of the family's 1831-position model. The record is from RNAcentral. Lineage: Eukaryota; Viridiplantae; Chlorophyta; Mamiellophyceae; Dolichomastigales; Crustomastigaceae.
CGGUGGAGGGAGACGGAUCGUUUACUUUGAAAAAAUCAGAGUGUUUCAAGCAGGCAGCUCGCUCUUGCAUGGAUUAGCAUGGGAUAAUGAAAUAGGACUCUGGUGCUAUUUUGUU